RNAcentral lists this ribosomal RNA (253 nucleotides) under uncultured bacterium. RNAcentral's name for it is "partial 16S ribosomal RNA". It matches the Rfam family "Bacterial small subunit ribosomal RNA", at positions 524 to 776 of the family's 1533-position model. The record is from RNAcentral.
UACGUAGGGAGCGAGCGUUGUCCGGAAUUAUUGGGCGUAAAGGGUGCGUAGGCGGCAAUGCAAGUCAGAUGUGAAAUCCCCGGGCUUAACUCGGGUGGUGCAUUUGAAACUGCGUUGCUUGAGUGCAGGAGAGGAAAGCGGAAUUCCUAGUGUAGCGGUGAAAUGCGUAGAUAUUAGGAAGAACACCAGUGGCGAAGGCGGCUUUCUGGACUGUAACUGACGCUGAGGCACGAAAGCGUGGGGAGCAAACAGG